AACGAACGCUGGCGGCAGGCUUAACACAUGCAAGUCGAACGGAUCCUUCGGGAUUAUUUGCAGACGGGUGAGUAACGCGUGGGAACGUACCCUUUUCUACGGAAUAACUCAGGGAAACUUGUGCUAAUACCGUAUGUGCCCUACGGGGGAAAGAUUUAUCGGCAAAGGAUCGGCCCGCGUUGGAUUAGCUAGUUGGUGGGGUAAUGGCCUACCAAGGCGACGAUCCAUAGCUGGUCUGAGAGGAUGAUCAGCCACACUGGGACUGAGACACGGCCCAGACUAGUACGGGAGGAAGAAGUGGGGAAUAUAGGAAAAUGGGAGAAAGCAUGAAGAAGCAAGGCCGGGAGAGAGAUGAAGGUGUUAGGAAAGAAAAGCAAUUUAAAAGGAGAAGAUAAUGACGGUAGCGGGAGAAGAAGCCCCGGCUAACUUCGUG
Molecule: ribosomal RNA, 433 nt
Filed under: uncultured bacterium
Lineage: Bacteria
Description: partial 16S ribosomal RNA
Rfam family: Bacterial small subunit ribosomal RNA
Source: RNAcentral